This is a non-coding RNA of Schizosaccharomyces pombe (fission yeast), 413 nucleotides long. NCBI's taxonomy places the organism in Eukaryota, Fungi, Ascomycota, Schizosaccharomycetes, Schizosaccharomycetales, Schizosaccharomycetaceae. The record is from the annotation of a GenBank genome assembly.
CAACAUAGACAGGUGCAGACAGGUCUCAAACACGUCUUUAGUGGCAUAUCUAGAGACCCAAGUAGUCACUAAAUAGCGAAGUUAAACGAUACACUAUAUCCUUGCAAGAAGAGAAAGAGUACAAGGCAUCAAGUGGAGUUUGUUUUGAAUGUAAUGCGAUUUCGUAUGUAUACCCUGUUUCUUUCAUUCGGGCUCUAAAAUUGUAUUCAUACAAUUAAAAAUUUUUUAAUGGGUGAGUUUGCAUGAUUGUUUGAAAACAGUAGAACAAGCAAUUUUGUUCGACGUUGAAGCCAUUUUUUAGAAACUAGAUAACGAUACAAACAAUUAAGAACAUAGUAUUGUAGUAAGUUUACUGUGUAAUGCGACUAUAAAUGAUCUCGGUAGUAGCAAAAACAAAAACUACGUUAAUGAAU